Molecule: ribosomal RNA, 389 nt
Filed under: Biecheleria sp.
Lineage: Eukaryota; Dinophyceae; Suessiales; Biecheleriaceae
Description: partial small subunit ribosomal RNA
Rfam family: Eukaryotic small subunit ribosomal RNA
Source: RNAcentral
AUUCCAGCUCCAAUAGCGUAUAUUAAAGUUGUUGCGGUUAAAAAGCUCGUAGUUGGAUUUCUGCCGAGGAUGACCGGUCCGCCCUGUGGGUGUGCAUCUGGCUCAGCCUUGGCAUCUUCCUGAAGAACGUAGCUGCACUUGACUGUGUGGUGCGGUAUUUAGGACAUUUACUUUGAGGAAAUUAGAGUGUUUCAAGCAAGCGCACGCUUUGAAUACAUUAGCAUGGAAUAAUAAGAUAGGACCUCGGUUCUAUUUUGUUGGUUUCUAGUACCGAAGUAAUGAUUGAUAGGGAUAGUUGGGGGUGCUAGUAUUGGCCGGCCAGAGGUGAAAUUCUUGGAUUCGGUCAAGACUAACUUAUGCGAAAGCAUUCACCAAGGAUGUCUUCAUUA